CUUGUGUUGCCCACAUUCGAGCCUUCCUUAUUGACAGCGACCUCUCAGCAAUCCUCAAAUCCUAAUUCUCUGCGGUGCUUCAGCUCCUUUCUUCUUGCUCUCCUUCUCACAGGCAAYCUUUGUGGACUCUGCUGUUCCCAUGUUGCAGGGUGUGGGCUUGGCUGUGACCGAGAUCCUGAGCAGACCCCGAAUGAGCAUGCUAAAGGGCAACGCAAAACCCAGAGACAUCAUUUUUUAUUGUAUGAGCAAAAGCUUUUGGCUGCCGGAGAAGAGUUCUCCUCUGUUGCAUAUGGAACUGCUGCAAAGUAUUUGCCAAUGCCUUGACGUUCUUCCACCCGAAAGGGAAUUAAUCACUGAGAGGGCAUGA
This 367-nucleotide long non-coding RNA is filed under the name Dromaius novaehollandiae (emu). RNAcentral describes it as "lncRNA (ENSDNVG00000013868.1)". Lineage: Eukaryota; Metazoa; Chordata; Aves; Casuariiformes; Dromaiidae. The record is from RNAcentral.